This 206-nucleotide long non-coding RNA is filed under the name Panax ginseng (ginseng). RNAcentral's name for it is "long non-coding RNA (PGIN_LNC003930)". Lineage: Eukaryota; Viridiplantae; Streptophyta; Magnoliopsida; Apiales; Araliaceae. The record is from RNAcentral.
UGAGCCCUAUUAACAACAUCUGAAUACAAACACAGUUUAUGAGAGAUAAGAUAUUGACGUAUCUCGGGUUUCAAACCUCUUAGAAACAUUCGCGUCAUUCUCUCCUCAUUAUCAACCAAAUGGGACGCAAACCGGGAUAACUCAGCAAACUUGGCUUCAUACUGCGACACGGUCAUGUUGUUUUGCUCCAGCUUGAUGAACUCUAC